GGGUUGUGAGGUUAAGCGACUAAGCGUACACGGUGGAUGCCCUGGCAGUCAGAGGCGAUGAAGGGCGUGCUAAUCUGCGAUAAGCGCCGGUAAGGUGAUAUGAACCGUUAUAACCGGCGAUACCCGAAUGGGGAAACCCAGUGUGAUUCGUCACACUAUCAUUAACUGAAUCCAUAGGUUAAUGAGGCGAACCGGGGGAACUGAAACAUCUAAGUACCCCGAGGAAAAGAAAUCAACCGAGAUUCCCCCAGUAGCGGCGAGCGAACGGGGAGGAGCCCAGAGCCUGAAUCAGCAUGUGUGUUAGUGGAAGCGUCUGGAAAGGCGCGCGAUACAGGGUGACAGCCCCGUACACAAAAGCGCAUGUGCUGUGAGCUCGAUGAGUAGGGCGGGACACGUGGUAUCCUGUCUGAAUAUGGGGGGACCAUCCUCCAAGGCUAAAUACUCCUGACUGACCGAUAGUGAACCAGUACCGUGAGGGAAAGGCGAAAAGAACCCCGGCGAGGGGAGUGAAAAAGAACCUGAAACCGUGUACGUACAAGCAGUGGGAGCACAGGUUUACCUGUGUGACUGCGUACCUUUUGUAUAAUGGGUCAGCGACUUAUAUUCUGUAGCAAGGUUAACCGCAUAGGGGAGCCGGAGGGAAACCGAGUCUUAAUUGGGCGUUAAGUUGCAGGGUAUAGACCCGAAACCCGGUGAUCUAGCCAUGGGCAGGUUGAAGGUUGGGUAACACUAACUGGAGGACCGAACCGACUAAUGUUGAAAAAUUAGCGGAUGACCUGUGGCUGGGGGUGAAAGGCCAAUCAAACCGGGAGAUAGCUGGUUCUCCCCGAAAGCUAUUUAGGUAGCGCCUCGUGAAUUCAUCUCCGGGGGUAGAGCACUGUUUCGGCUAGGGGGCCAUCCCGGCUUACCAACCCGAUGCAAACUGCGAAUACCGGAGAAUGUUAUCACGGGAGACACACGGCGGGUGCUAACGUCCGUCGUGAAGAGGGAAACAACCCAGACCGCCAGCUAAGGUCCCAAAGUCAUGGUUAAGUGGGAAACGAUGUGGGAAGGCCCAGACAGCCAGGAUGUUGGCUUAGAAGCAGCCAUCAUUUAAAGAAAGCGUAAUAGCUCACUGGUCGAGUCGGCCUGCGCGGAAGAUGUAACGGGGCUAAACCAUGCACCGAAGCUGCGGCAGCGAACGUAUCACUUAAAGCGAUUCAGCGGGUUACGAUUGACGGAGCGAAGCGACGUCAAAGCGUAUACAAAGUCGAGUCGGUUUAAGGAUACGUUCGUUGGGUAGGGGAGCGUUCUGUAAGCCUGUGAAGGUGGCCUGUGAGGGUUGCUGGAGGUAUCAGAAGUGCGAAUGCUGACAUAAGUAACGAUAAAGCGGGUGAAAAGCCCGCUCGCCGGAAGACCAAGGGUUCCUGUCCAACGUUAAUCGGGGCAGGGUGAGUCGACCCCUAAGGCGAGGCCGAAAGGCGUAGUCGAUGGGAAACGGGUUAAUAUUCCCGUACUUGGUGUUACUGCGAAGGGGGGACGGAGAAGGCUAUGUUGGCCGGGCGACGGUUGUCCCGGUUUAAGCGUGUAGGUGUGUGUUCCAGGUAAAUCCGGUUCACUUUAACACUGAGGCGUGACGACGAGGCACUACGGUGCUGAAGCAACAAAUGCCCUGCUUCCAGGAAAAGCCUCUAAGCAUCAGGUAACAUCAAAUCGUACCCCAAACCGACACAGGUGGUCAGGUAGAGAAUACCAAGGCGCUUGAGAGAACUCGGGUGAAGGAACUAGGCAAAAUGGUGCCGUAACUUCGGGAGAAGGCACGCUGACAUGUAGGUGAAGUGAUUUACUCAUGGAGCUGAAGUCAGUCGAAGAUACCAGCUGGCUGCAACUGUUUAUUAAAAACACAGCACUGUGCAAACACGAAAGUGGACGUAUACGGUGUGACGCCUGCCCGGUGCCGGAAGGUUAAUUGAUGGGGUCAGCGCAAGCGAAGCUCCUGAUCGAAGCCCCGGUAAACGGCGGCCGUAACUAUAACGGUCCUAAGGUAGCGAAAUUCCUUGUCGGGUAAGUUCCGACCUGCACGAAUGGCGUAAUGAUGGCCAGGCUGUCUCCACCCGAGACUCAGUGAAAUUGAACUCGCUGUGAAGAUGCAGUGUACCCGCGGCAAGACGGAAAGACCCCGUGAACCUUUACUAUAGCUUGACACUGAACAUUGAGCCUUGAUGUGUAGGAUAGGUGGGAGGCUUUGAAGUGUGGACGCCAGUCUGCAUGGAGCCGACCUUGAAAUACCACCCUUUAAUGUUUGAUGUUCUAACGUGGACCCGUAAUCCGGGUUGCGGACAGUGUCUGGUGGGUAGUUUGACUGGGGCGGUCUCCUCCUAAAGAGUAACGGAGGAGCACGAAGGUUGGCUAAUCCUGGUCGGACAUCAGGAGGUUAGUGCAAUGGCAUAAGCCAGCUUGACUGCGAGCGUGACGGCGCGAGCAGGUGCGAAAGCAGGUCAUAGUGAUCCGGUGGUUCUGAAUGGAAGGGCCAUCGCUCAACGGAUAAAAGGUACUCCGGGGAUAACAGGCUGAUACCGCCCAAGAGUUCAUAUCGACGGCGGUGUUUGGCACCUCGAUGUCGGCUCAUCACAUCCUGGGGCUGAAGUAGGUCCCAAGGGUAUGGCUGUUCGCCAUUUAAAGUGGUACGCGAGCUGGGUUUAGAACGUCGUGAGACAGUUCGGUCCCUAUCUGCCGUGGGCGCUGGAGAACUGAGGGGGGCUGCUCCUAGUACGAGAGGACCGGAGUGGACGCAUCACUGGUGUUCGGGUUGUCAUGCCAAUGGCACUGCCCGGUAGCUAAAUGCGGAAGAGAUAAGUGCUGAAAGCAUCUAAGCACGAAACUUGCCCCGAGAUGAGUUCUCCCUGAGACUUAGAGUCUCCUGAAGGAACGUUGAAGACGACGACGUUGAUAGGCCGGGUGUGUAAGCGCAGCGAUGCGUUGAGCUAACCGGUACUAAUGAACCGUGAGGCUUAACCUUACAACGCCGAAG
RNAcentral lists this ribosomal RNA (3010 nucleotides) under Salmonella enterica. RNAcentral's name for it is "23S ribosomal RNA". It matches the Rfam family "Bacterial large subunit ribosomal RNA". Lineage: Bacteria; Pseudomonadati; Pseudomonadota; Gammaproteobacteria; Enterobacterales; Enterobacteriaceae. The record is from RNAcentral.